This 255-nucleotide small RNA is filed under the name Vigna angularis var. angularis. RNAcentral describes it as "Non-protein coding transcript". The record is from RNAcentral. Lineage: Eukaryota; Viridiplantae; Streptophyta; Magnoliopsida; Fabales; Fabaceae.
GGUAUCAAGAAUAAAGGGGUUGCUUUUACAUAUUCUACUUGGUGUAUGUAAGAAGGGGUUCUCUCUUCUUUAUGAUACUUCCACGAAGGGCAAAAGACUGCAAACAAACAGAUACAGAUACUACUGGCACCAACAACAAAAAACAUGGCAGACUUGACUUUUCUACGACUAUGAGAAAGGCUAUGCAGACCCUAGGCCAAUCAUGAGAAAAAAAAUGCUGGCAAGUUGAAAAUUGAAAUUUUUUGUUCAGUGAAG